GACGAACGCUGGCGGCGUGCCUAAUACAUGCAAGUUGAGCGCUGAAGGUUGGUCCUUGUACCAACUGGAUGAGCAGCGAACGGGUGAGUAACGCGUGGGGAAUCUGCCUUUGAGCGGGGGACAACAUUUGGAAACGAAUGCUAAUACCGCAUAAAAACUUUAAACACAAGUUUUAAGUUUGAAAGAUGCAAUUGCAUCACUCAAAGAUGAUCCCGCGUUGUAUUAGCUAGUUGGUGAGGUAAAGGCUCACCAAGGCGAUGAUACAUAGCCGACCUGAGAGGGUGAUCGGCCACAUUGGGACUGAGACACGGCCCAAACUCCUACGGGAGGCAGCAGUAGGGAAUCUUCGGCAAUGGACGAAAGUCUGACCGAGCAACGCCGCGUGAGUGAAGAAGGUUUUCGGAUCGUAAAACUCUGUUGGUAGAGAAGAACGUUGGUGAGAGUGGGAAGCUCAUCAAGUGACGGUAACUACCCAGAAAGGGACGGCUAACUACGU
Molecule: ribosomal RNA, 496 nt
Filed under: uncultured bacterium
Lineage: Bacteria
Description: partial 16S ribosomal RNA
Rfam family: Bacterial small subunit ribosomal RNA
Source: RNAcentral